RNAcentral lists this ribosomal RNA (301 nucleotides) under uncultured bacterium. RNAcentral describes it as "partial 16S ribosomal RNA". It matches the Rfam family "Bacterial small subunit ribosomal RNA", at positions 509 to 807 of the family's 1533-position model. The record is from RNAcentral.
CAGCAGCCGCGGUAAAACGGAGGGUGCAAGCGUUAUCCGGAUUCACUGGGUUUAAAGGGUGCGUAGGCGGAUCUGUAAGUCAGUGGUGAGAUCUCCAGGCUUAACCUGGAAACUGCCGUUGAUACUAUAGGUCUUGAAUUUUGUGGAGGUUAGCGGAAUAUGUCAUGUAGCGGUGAAAUGCAUAGAUAUGACAUAGAACACCAAUUGCGAAGGCAGCUGGCUACACAACUAUUGACGCUGAGGCACGAAAGCGUGGGGAUCAAACAGGAUUAGAUACCCGCGUAGUCCCUGUCUCUUAUAC